CUCUCUACCUUGUCUAUAUGUAGUCCCCUCUCUCUACCUUGUCUCUAUGUAGUCCCCUCUCUCUACCUUGUCUCUAUGAAGCCACCUCUCUCUACCUUGUCUCUAUGAAGCUCCUGUCUCUCUCCAACAGAGUCUUAUGUCCUCCUGCGUAUAUGGAAGAGGUGGUUGACCUUUGACCUUUCCUCCCCGUCGACUAGCAGUGAUGUCACACCGUCCUUGCUUUAUUAACACUCCCCAGAGGACCAAAGAGGACAGCAUGUAGACUGAAUACUUUUUUAAAGCUAUACUUGUGUGCUCAACACACAACACACUACAUUGCUAGCAUGGAAAGAGACUGAGCGAUAAGGAAACCAGGUCAUUACCAAGCCAACUCAACAAAUGUAGGGGUAUGUUGUCAUUGACCUGAGCCCUAGGACCAUGCCUCAGGACUACCUGACAUGAUGACUCCUUGCUGUCCCC
This is a non-coding RNA of Oncorhynchus mykiss (rainbow trout), 459 nucleotides long. The record is from RefSeq and is a predicted model, not a curated record. NCBI's taxonomy places the organism in Eukaryota, Metazoa, Chordata, Actinopteri, Salmoniformes, Salmonidae.